UACACACCGCCCGUCACACCAUGGGAGUUGGCUUUACCUGAAGGCACUGCGCUAACCGCAAGGGGCAGGUGACCACGGUAGGGUCAGCGACUGGGUG
Molecule: ribosomal RNA, 97 nt
Filed under: uncultured bacterium
Lineage: Bacteria
Description: partial 16S ribosomal RNA
Rfam family: Bacterial small subunit ribosomal RNA
Source: RNAcentral